UCAUAGAGGGGAAGUAGCCUUCGAAGGAAGAUUAAUACGCAUAAGAUUGUAGUACCGCAUGGUACAGCAAUUAAAAGGAGUAAUCCGCUAUGAGAUGGACCCGCCGUCGCAUUAGCUAGUUGGUGAGGUAACGGCUCACCAAGGCGACGAUGCGUAGCCGACCUGAGAGGGUGAUCGGCCACAUUGGGACUGAGACACGGCCCAGACUCCUACGGGAGGCAGCAUG
RNAcentral lists this ribosomal RNA (226 nucleotides) under uncultured bacterium. RNAcentral describes it as "partial 16S ribosomal RNA". It matches the Rfam family "Bacterial small subunit ribosomal RNA", at positions 131 to 353 of the family's 1533-position model. The record is from RNAcentral.